RNAcentral lists this ribosomal RNA (1446 nucleotides) under Triticum aestivum (bread wheat). RNAcentral's name for it is "partial small subunit ribosomal RNA". The record is from RNAcentral. Lineage: Eukaryota; Viridiplantae; Streptophyta; Magnoliopsida; Poales; Poaceae.
AUGGAGGCGAUAAAUACCGAUUGCAGCGACAGUUCCCGCAGCCAACAACUGAAGGACGAAGAUAGGCUCAGCAUGCUGACUGAUGAUAUUUUACUGUCCAUCUUGGGGAGAGUCAGCUCAUGUAUGGCUGCAAGGACAAGUGUGCUCUCUACACGGUGGAAGCAUCUGCCUUGGUUGCUGCCUGAGCUCAGCAUCGAUGUGAAGGAUUUCCUAUCCGCUCCGUGCGCUGACCCUAUUGAGGAAAAUGAUAUGGAACAAGCUAUGAAGUCUUUGACCAAAGCAACCAGGAGUUUGUUGGAUAAACAACAGAGAGAAUCCACUAUCUCAAGUUUGCACCUUGAGCUCUAUCUGUUCAACGCUUUCCUUUGUGAGGUUGGCCCACUGAUAGGUGAUGCAAUCGACAGUGGUUUGUUGAAAGAUUUGGAUCUCACCAUUCUUGAUGAGACAGAGCCUCUUGACCAUAGUGAGGAAGAGAUGCAACAGCGAGCUCAAGACAUCGAUGCUUUUUUCACUGCCUACCCUAGUGUGCUCCACUGCCUCACAAAGCUCUCUCUAAAAAAUGUAGGCUUUGACAAAUUGGACAUGCACCAUGUUCUGUUUGACUGCUGCAAGCAACUGAAGCAUCUAACCCUUCAUCAUUGUGAUACUGGUUCCUACUCUCUCUUUAAGAUUGAUGCACCACACUCAAAACUCUGUGUUCUAGAAAUCGGAAAGUGUCGCUUUCUGAGAAUCGACCUUGUCUGCCUCCCUAAUCUGGAGAAGUUGGUUUGCGAUACUUGGGUAUCUCAGUGUGCCCCGUUGACCUUUGGUUUUGUCCCUUCUCUUGGGGAAUUAGAACUCUCAUGUGGUUCAGAUUGUGAGCAACGCGGAUUUAAAUUAAGUGAGCUUCUACAUGGAGUAACAAGCAUACAUAGUCUCACAUUGGAUUUCCAAGGAGAAACCCUUUGGUUGCAUCCUGAAAUGGAGGAUCUCCGCACCGCAUUCAGCAAGCUAAGGAAGCUGUCUGUACUUGGUAUCUUUGUUGAAUUUGACAUUUUAUGGACAACGGCCUUUCUUGUAGCAGCACCAUCUAUUGAAAUGUUACAUAUUGAGGUAUGGGAACAUACAUGCGAUGUGGGUGAGGCCAGACCUGCUUCCUUCCAUGACAGAAGGAGCCCUCAGUGGGAAAUGCACUUGGAUAGCAGCUCCGAGAACAAGCUUCUGAAAGAGCUAGAAUUUGCUGGAUUUAAAUCGCUAGAACAACAGUUUACAUUUAUAAGAUCCAUGUUGGAGCGAUCUCCCAACUUGCAGAAGAUGGUACUGAAAGAUGAGGUGCAGUGCGAUGACUGCGAUGCCCUUGAGGUACCUCGCCCUUCUAGAUUUCCGAGGAAGAAAGAUGAGCAAGAAGUGGUCGUUAAGCGGAUUAUAGAUGGCAUUUUCUCGCCAGAGAUAAUUUUUCAUGAAUAA